Molecule: long non-coding RNA, 1367 nt
Filed under: Phasianus colchicus (ring-necked pheasant)
Lineage: Eukaryota; Metazoa; Chordata; Aves; Galliformes; Phasianidae
Description: lncRNA (ENSPCLG00000002788.1)
Source: RNAcentral
GGAAUGAGUUCUCUUCUUAAGUCUGCUAUUUGCUGGAUAGAAAUCUUUAUCUUUCAAGGCAGAGUUUGAACAGUACCAGCCCACUAAAUUUCACUGAGUCUGCUGAAACUCCAAGCAGCAAUAUUUCUUUCACAAACCAAACUAUUAUUUAAAUGCACUAUGAGAUUUCCUGUGAAAAAAUAUCUGACAAAUUCUUUUUGGAAUUCAAUUUUUGUUCUUUCCAUGUGAGCGCUGUACAUAGGUUCCUCCAAAAGUAAUGCCUCCUCUUUUUUUCCAUGCAAAAUACAACAGAUACAGAGAGCACAAUAACACUAUUUGACAGAGCAAAUUCUCAGCUACAAAACACUAUUUUUCAGCACAGUCAUCACCAUUAGCUCUGCAUUUUUGCCAGCAAUGAACAAGAGCCUGCAUGUGUGCUCAUAAGAAUCUGCACCAGUGGAGGUGACCCACUGUUGUUGCUGCCACCAGUGAAACACACCACCCACUGCCUCACUGUCCUCACAUCCACUCUGGUCUCCAUAAGCAUUCAGCAAGCAUCAGUGAAUGUCAGUGGGUGCCAUUUUUCCCACAUGUAGAAAUCUAAUUCCACACCUUUACUUCAUAUGCACUUCUACAGAAGACACCAUUGUGUCAGACUGCCCCUCCGCUGCCAUCUGUCACACAACAACAACAUGUAACAGAAUAGUGGCAGGAAGAUUCGGCCCCUACUGCCAUACCACCAAUAUCUGUCUUUGAUGUUGUGGGCCAAUAUAGAAAAAUAGGAGGCAUUACUUUCAGAGCAGCCCUUGUACAAUUUACUCUUCCAAAAACAAAGCCCUAGGUGCUCUGCUGUCAUCUUUCUAAAAUCAGAAAAAAAUGAUAAUGUUGGAAGGGCACAAAAUAACGUUUCAAUAUUCUAAAUUCUUAGUUAACGAAAUAGAUGCUCCUUACUCAUUGAAGGAUCAGGGGUUGGUUUGUUGUAUAUGUAUAUACACCAUCUAUUCAGAGAGUUUGACAGACUUUACAGGAAGAAUGUACAAUGAAGAACUUAUGCACAACACAAAAUUGCAGGGCCUCAGAGGAAGCCAACUGAACAGAGAGAACAGAGAACAAUGAACGCACCAAAGUGUGGUGAGGACUCCUGGGAGCUUUUGUUAGAAGAGAGGGUUGUAAUACAGCCUCUUUCCCACACAGAACAGUAGAGCACAUAGCUUUGCACCUCCUGCACAUCACAGUAAGUCUCAUCUUUGGUCAUUUUCUGCAAACUUAUUUUCUACAAACUGUGUAAGAAAGGCUCCCAAAUCAAAUCCAUGCUGAAGGCUCAGAAGCAAGAUUCAGUUGUAUAUAGAGCAGAAAUCAGGGUUAAUAUCAUUGGAGCACAUGCCACC